GGCUUCCCAGAUAAAGUCACUCUUCUUUGGCCCAGCAACUCGCCUCUCAACUUAUUAGCCUGUGGUGUGGCGAGCAGUACAGGCUUGGACUUGGUAACAAAUUCUGAUGAAGCCACCCAGGAGCCUUGGUGCUCGUGGCCUGCCAGCCCUGGCUGGGGAAUUCUGGGGUGAGAGCCUAGCAGCUGCCGGGACCCCUCGUCCUGAGGAUCUGCCCUUCAGAGUUCUCUGAAGCAGCCCCGGCCGCCCCAGCACUUGGCAGUGGAAGGAAGGAAUCGACAUUUGGGACCCGACGGGCUCCGGACGGUAAGGUACAGCAUGGAGAUGGCACUGAGUUCCGUUGGGACACAGCACGCCUUGGGAAUCUUAGAGUUAACUGAGUUGACCAGCAUCUGGACGAUGGCGUGGUUCGUGGAGUUCAGAGGGAAUAGGACCCUUGAAAGAAGAAAAUCACAUUUGUCAGACUUGUCUCCUGAGGGUACAUCUAGUCAGUGUGGCUCAAGGACAAGGGAGCUCCUGCACAAGGUCUCGUUGGGCUGAGGAAUCAAAGCUUUCCUGUAAAGCACUGUCAUCCCGAAGAGAUUACACUUUAGAUGUUGGCAGUGUUUAUCCAGAAUGAUGCAGCAAUAUCACGCGGUCCACUGGAAAGAUCCCCCGUCGCCCCCGGCAACAGCUCACGAAGAAUGAUCAAAUGCUUCCGUGCACACCGUGUUUAUCAUCCCCUGAUGUCCAUGUCCUAGACGGGAAUUUAAGGUGCAUCUAAACAAUGAGGGAGAAGAUCUCUCUUCAGGUCUAAAUGCUGGAUUAAUGUUACAGAACGAUUGAUUUAUGGUCGUUCCUCCUUGUGUGUAGAGGUCUUAAAUA
Molecule: long non-coding RNA, 861 nt
Organism: Physeter macrocephalus (sperm whale)
Lineage: Eukaryota; Metazoa; Chordata; Mammalia; Artiodactyla; Physeteridae
Exons: 4
Source: RefSeq, a predicted model, not a curated record